UCGAGAAUCUUCGGCAAUGGGCGCCAGCCUGACCGAGCGACGCCGCGUGGGGGACGACGGCCUUCGGGUUGUAAACCCCUGUCGGAGGGGAGGAACGUGCCGUGAAGAGCGGCGCUUGACCGAUCCUCGGAGGAAGCACGGGCUAAGUUCGUGCCAGCAGCCGCGGUAAGACGAACCGUGCGAACGUUAUUCGGAAUCACUGGGCUUAAAGCGCGUGUAGGCGGGCCGGCACGUCCGGUGCUGAAAGCCCCCGGCUCAACCGGGGAAGGGGCACGGAUACGACCGGCCUGGAGGGGGGUAGGGGGACCUGGAACUUCCGGUGGAGCGGUGAAAUGCGUUGAGAUCGGAAGGAACGCCCGUGGCGAAAGCGAGGUCCUGGGCCCUUACUGACGCUGAGACGCGAAAGCCAGGGGAGCGAACGGGAUUAGAUACCCCCGUAGUCC
RNAcentral lists this ribosomal RNA (443 nucleotides) under uncultured bacterium. RNAcentral describes it as "bacterial SSU rRNA". It matches the Rfam family "Bacterial small subunit ribosomal RNA", at positions 355 to 796 of the family's 1533-position model. The record is from RNAcentral.